AACGAACGCUGGCGGCAUGCCUAACACAUGCAAGUCGAACGAGACCUUCGGGUCUAGUGGCGCACGGGUGCGUAACGCGUGGGAAUCUGCCCUCUGGUACGGAAUAACUCAGGGAAACUUGAGCUAAUACCGUAUAAUGACUUCGGUCCAAAGAUUUAUCGCCUGAGGAUGAGCCCGCGUAGGAUUAGCUAGUUGGUGAGGUAAAAGCUCACCAAGGCGACGAUCCUUAGCGGUCUGAGAGGAUGAUCAGCCACACUGGGACUGAGACACGGCCCAGACUCCUACGGGAGGCAGCAGUGGGGAAUAUUGGACAAUGGGCGAAAGCCUGAUCCAGCAAUGCCGCGUGAGUGAUGAA
This 355-nucleotide ribosomal RNA is filed under the name uncultured bacterium. RNAcentral describes it as "bacterial SSU rRNA". It matches the Rfam family "Bacterial small subunit ribosomal RNA", at positions 29 to 412 of the family's 1533-position model. The record is from RNAcentral.